UCUAAACAACCCGCAUAACAAAAUACAGUUUGUCUUACUUUAAGAACAAUAAACAUAUUGUAACGGGUACGGUUAAUGUAUCAGAAAUAGUUGCUUUUAUGUAUAACCAUAUGGACUUCAAAGCUGUUCACCAUUUCAAACAGUAUGAUUAACCCAUACCUUUCAGUAACAAUAUAUGAUACUGCUCUGAUAUUGUUAAAUUAUAUGGGAAUGGAUUCAAGCAAGAUAUGGUGAAAACAUUACGCCACCAUUCGGCAAAUUGUUUUUGUUUUAAUUUGUGCAACACACUCACAUAUUUGCAUUUGACAAUAUUGAACUACAUUUUAACAGUUCGACAAAUAGUUACAUUUUGUUGGUAUUUGUGAGCGACAAUCUAGCGUUGAGUGUAGAAAAAAAAUCGCCGUCGAAGAAAAACAGUCAAGUUAAACUGAAAUUAUAUUUAAAAAACAGCAAUUCACAUCAAAAAAUGACAACUGCGAUCGACCCAGAACUGCGCACCAAAAUCGAUGCCGCUUGCCGGAUGGAGGAGGGAUUCGCCAAACUGUACAACGAAAAAGUAGCCAAGAAGCGGCAUCAUAUGACCCGGCUCUACAUGGACAACGGUUUGCUGGUGUGGAACGGAAAUGGUGCCAACGGGAAGGACAACAUCCAGAAGUACUUCUAGGAACUGCCCCGCUUCGAAUACAUUAUGAACACCCUGACUAUAAUUGAAUCAUCGCAGGGCUGGUAGCGGAUCUAAUUUUCUAUUUUAAUUCUUUAUUCGAGUCUUUUAAAAGUGCAAAAUUAAAUGCAAAUUCCUGUGCUUUAAUAAUGUACAACUGAAGUCAGUUAUUUAAGGAACUAUGAUGAUUUGAGUAAAUAGUUGAUCAAGUUGAAGCAUUAUUUUUCUCUUCACGUAUUAAUUUGUUUCAUCAUUUCUUAUUUAAUGAAUUCAAUUCAAAUAUUUGAUUCUUAUGGUAUAACACUUACAUACCAGUAUGGGAUAGGG
Molecule: long non-coding RNA, 988 nt
Filed under: Aedes aegypti (yellow fever mosquito)
Lineage: Eukaryota; Metazoa; Arthropoda; Insecta; Diptera; Culicidae
Description: lncRNA AAEL025573
Source: RNAcentral